AAGUGCAUUUAUGCAAAUUUUUUUUGCGGCAUCCUCGUUAGCUGUUUUUGUAUAACGGUUACCGUUAACUGUCGCGUUACGGGGGAUUUCGACGUUACAAAUAUGGGAGAUUUCAAGCGUUCUAGCCUGCUGUUGUUUACCUUACACGCUUAUAAAAAUGUCGAAUGGCGUUUGUGCUUCCGAGCAGCUGUUCGCGACGUUCUUCCUCCGUUGCCCGGUCGACUGUUCUGCCUUAAUGUGCAACCGAGCAAGCGCCGUAAACAUGCGCAGUAGCGUCCCAAAUUUCAGUUCAGUAGACGGAUUUGUUGACAACAGACGAAGUUUUGGAUUGAUCUAAGAAAUGUGGAUAACUUAACAAAAAAAGAAGAAGGGGAAAAAAAAAAAAAAAUUAUUUUUGAUUGUUGCAACUCCGCCUUCGAUACCGAACGAAACAUGGACGAAAGCAUUCGAUAAUUACGUUUUUACACAAAAGUAAGUUAUUAUUGUUUGUGUGUUUGUGGAUUAAGAGAAAAUUUCGAUUUCGUCACCUGAUUUAACGCGAAUAACGUUUCGCGGAUUCCCGAUAGGUUGGUAGAGAAAUGAAGUUGUGUCAUGUAGAUUUUCGAACAAAAAGUCAUAUUUCUGCGAAAAGCUGAUGAAUGGAAAAGAGCUGGAAUUGCGUGACAUAACUCCAUUGCUUCACAAUUCGUUUGCGACUGUGUGGUACCGUUCCGGUCCCAGUCACACUCUUCUAUUGUGUAGAAGUUAUACUUUAACGUUGGAAGUCAUUGAUGGCUAACCAAAUCUGCGCACCCCUUUAACUACUGUUUUGAUAGUAAAAACCGUGCAGGAAAGAGGAAGAGCGUUACACACACAUACAAAAUAUACUAUACAGUAUAUGUAUUUAUAUAUACACACAUAUAUAUACAUAUAAUGUCGAAUUUAUCGAUACAGUUCGUGGUAUUUAAUAUGUUUAAACUACCAACUCGUGUUUGCAGAACAAACAGGUGAUUUUCCGAACUUCGCCAUUAAAAAUGACUAUUUUUUAUGCGAUUUUUAAACGGAAUUAAUGUCAGGAUUAUUUAUUAAUAUGCACGUUCUAUGUAUUAACCGGAAGGAAGAAUUUUCUUCUUUUUUUAAUUCUCAUCCGGUGCUAAAUCGCGUGUUUCUGUUCUCGUUCGUGAUUUACGAGAACGUUUGUUGCUCGAACAACAAUACAGCGCUCGAGCCAAGUUUUUAGAAAACUGUAACUGCCCUGUGGCCACGUCACUUGCCUGUUAUCCUUUUUUUUUUGUGUGUGUGUGUGUGUAUGUGUGCGGUUUCUGACACAAUUCGAAUAUUCUCCCAGUAACCAACAAACUAAAAUAUGCUAAUCGACUGUCGUGUUUUUAGUUAGAAUAUACUAGCAAUCGAGUCAUUUACGAAACAUUGGAUAUUAACGAUUCGAUAAAAUUUUUAAGAAUACUGUAUAUAAAAAUGAAUACAAAGACAAAGAAAAAUCGAACAAUGGACACGUUUCUGCAUUUUAUUGUGGAAACGAUUUUCAUUGACACGAGAAUCUCGUUUCUUGUUUUGCUUACGUCAGAAACAAGAUGUUGCAUGCAUGAAUUGUCAAUGAAGUCAGUGUUAUAUCCAUGUUGCGCGUCCUUGCCGAACCAAAACUCUGCAUACACAAUAGGUAUUCCACCAGUUAAAUUAGUCCUUCUAUGGAACACGUUUCAGCAAAACGGACUUUCAGAGAUACAUACACCCCGUUAAAAUAUAUAUAUAUAUACGUGUUAUGAUAAUGAUCGUAAUCAGCGCUCGGAGGGAUAGUACCAACAACACAUUAACGCAGCAAAGGUUUAUAUGUAUGACAUAAGAACGUGACUUCACCGUGGGUGUGACAGUGGAAUGAUAUAUCGAAGGUGUUUUGAUACAUUGCCAAUUUUUCUGGUAAUAUUCUCUCGACUAGUUUCUGUAGUCGCAGGUAUACUUUAACCCGUACAGGACUCCAGUAAGUAGUUGGCUGAUUGACCUACAUAUAGCCAUAUGUCGGUCACACAGCUACCUUGCGUGUUGUAUACAUACACUUCGUUUUCCAUCUACCUCGCGAUAACGGAUAUGCGCGAAUCCCUAUUACGAUUCGCUUAACGGAAUCGAUGUCGUAAUCUACAGAUUAACGUUAAUCGCCGUUCGGAAUGGCAAUUAUUAAGACCGAAAUAUACUACACGAGAAAUUUACGAUAAGAGAGAGGCUAUAGAGGAUAUAUCGCGGCGUCCAGAGAAAUAUAAGGGUCAAUUAUCCCUGGAUGAGUAUUGUCUUCGCUCGGUAAUAACGUCGAACUACGAAUUUUAUCGCUUAAUUGGAGGAUAUGCGAUUCGCUAGGCUCAUUAAUCUGUUCGGUGCUUGCCUACAAGUGAUACAGUUUUGUGUGACAAUUAUCUUCCGACUUUAGCUUUAUGGUGGGUGGAUUGGAUUCGUACUUACGAUACUAAUUUAUUAUCAUCAUUAUUUAUUAUUUUUUUGAGAAUUUGUUUUAUGGUUUCUGUUUGUUUUAGAAAUUAUACCGAAGGUCGCUGCGUUUGGGUGUGGGAUUAAUUAGUUCUUACGCAAUGCCUGUUCAAUUUUGGGCGUGGAGUUUAGGGAGUGUUAUGCAAUACGGCAAAUUUUUUUUACAUUCUGUGCAACAACAGUUUAAGGCACGUGUUCUAUGCAAUAGCAAUUUGAUUAAUGCACCCAUUUUUAUUUUACGAUAUCACUCGAUUGUUGCAAUGAAUGCAGCAUACAAAUUCCUCAAACCGAAAAGCAUUAUCGGUUAAGUUAAAGAUAUUCUUACGCAAUUUUAAGCUGAU
This 2813-nucleotide long non-coding RNA is filed under the name Androctonus crassicauda. The record is from RNAcentral. Lineage: Eukaryota; Metazoa; Arthropoda; Arachnida; Scorpiones; Buthidae.